This 323-nucleotide long non-coding RNA is filed under the name Erythranthe guttata (spotted monkey flower). Its description in RNAcentral is "long non-coding RNA (EGUT_LNC000797)". Lineage: Eukaryota; Viridiplantae; Streptophyta; Magnoliopsida; Lamiales; Phrymaceae. The record is from RNAcentral.
AAAGUUCAGCGUUCGAUCCGAGAUUCAAGUCGCAAGACCCUCGGAAGACGUUAUUCAAAUCCAAAUCAAAUUCGGAGAAGAUCAAGUCAACGACUCGUCUCUGAAAUUCAAAGUCAAUCAUAUAUUUUUCUUGAGAGAAGAAUCAGAGGAUUAAAUUAGAGUUUGUAACCCGCAAUAUUUAUUUUUAAUUCAAUAAAAUUAUCUUUGUGCAAGUUUUUCUUGUUUGUCUAAAUCGCAGAUAAGAAUUUGUUGCUACAAAUUUUGGCACGCCCGGUGGGACAUCUCUACCUCUCAUCUCUUCUCUCUCUCGAAGUUCCUCGAAG